RNAcentral lists this transfer RNA (84 nucleotides) under Lachnospiraceae bacterium KHCPX20. The record is from Rfam by way of RNAcentral. Lineage: Bacteria; Bacillati; Bacillota; Clostridia; Lachnospirales; Lachnospiraceae.
GCUGACAUGGUGGAAGUAGACACAGGAGUGAGAAACUCUGGAGAGAAGUACAAUCUCGUAAAGGUGCAAAUCCUUUUGUCAGCA